This 216-nucleotide ribosomal RNA is filed under the name uncultured Glomus. RNAcentral's name for it is "partial 25S ribosomal RNA". It matches the Rfam family "Eukaryotic large subunit ribosomal RNA", at positions 365 to 605 of the family's 3401-position model. Lineage: Eukaryota; Fungi; Glomeromycota; Glomeromycetes; Glomerales; Glomeraceae. The record is from RNAcentral.
UGAAAAGAACUUUGAAAAGAGAGUUAAACAGUACGUGAAAUUGUUGAAAGGGAAACGAUUGAAGUCAGUCAUACCAACGGGAAAUCAACCUUUUGAGCUCGGUCUCGUGGGUUUUGAAGAGUUUCAAAGCCUUCGGAUUCGCGGGAUUGGGAUCUCUUGGCGUACUUUUUCGUACGGUUAGUCAACAUCGGUUUUGAAUGUCAUAAAAUGACUGGA